GGGGAGCUGCGGCUCGACACGGGGAACAUGGGAAUGGGAAUGGGAAUGGGAAUGGGAGUGGGAGUGGGAAUGGGAAUGGGAUGGGAUGGGAUGGGAUGGGAUGGGAUGGGAUGGGAUGGGAUGGGAUGGGAUGGGAUGGGAUGGGAAUGGACCUGGAAUGACACCAGGCUGCCGGUCUCCAUCCCAAUGGAGGCAAGACUGUGGGAUCCACCAGGGCUGGGAUCCCGGGAUCCAUCCCAGGACGUUCCCAUGGUGGGAUCCCGGAUCCAUCCCAUGAUCCUUUCCCAUGGUGGACAGUUUUCCAGGGACACUUCCCACCGUUCCAGGCUGCUCCAGCCGGACCCUUCCAGGGUCCAGGGGCAACCACAGCUUCCCUGGGAAUUCCAUCCCAGCCCUUCCCCACCCUCCCAGCUGGGAAUUCCUUCCCAAAAUCCCACGGAAAUCUCCCAUCCUUCAGUUUAAACCCAUCCCUCAUCCCCAAAAAUUUUGUCCCAUUCCCAACACGGAGCCGGCAAAACCCUGGGAUGAGCCGAUCCCAGCGGCUCCAUCCCAUCAUCUCCAUCCUGCUUUUCCAGCUGCUCCGGAUGUUCUUCCGGCAGCAAGACGAGAUCCGGCGCCUGAAGGAUGAGCUCUCGCAGAAGGACGUUCGGAUCCGGCAGCUCCAGCUGGAAUUAAAGAACUUCCGGAACAGCCCCAAGAACAAUUGAGCCCAUCCAGGGCCCUUUUCUAAAGCCAUUCCCAAGUUUCUACUCCCGAAUUCCCUGGAUUUGCUCACCCGCGGCGCAAUUCCGGAAUCUGCGGCUGCCGAGAGCCUGGAAUCGUGUCCCGCACGUCUCGUCCGGCACUAAUCCCGCUCUAACCCGAUUCCUGGGAAUGCCCGGAGGCUCCGGGUCCUGUCGGAUGUCGGGAUGAGCCCGGGUGGAUUCCCGGGAAAAGGCGGAAAUUCCCCGCUCUUCCUUUCUUCUCCUAUGCAAAAAUACGACGGCGGGAACGGAACUGGAAAAGGGGCGGGAAGAGGGAAGGGCUGGAUGGGCCAAGGGGAUUCCGGGUGGGAAUCCGGGAUCCUUCCCGGGCUGGGAGUUUGGGAUCCUUCCCGUGAUCCUUGCCCAUGGUGGGAGCCUGGGAUCCUUCCCGUGGCAGGAGGAGGGGAUCCUUCCCGAGCUGGGAAUCUGGGAUCCAUUCCAGGACCCUUUCCCACAGUUGGAACUUCCCAUGGUGGGAUCCCGGGAUAUUCCCGGGGUGCUGCCCCAGGGCUGGAUCCCGAGGGUGGAUCCCGAGGGUGGAACGACACCAGAUCCCAAUUCCCAGAGAUCCCAAUUCCCACUCAAUCCAGGCCGCUGAAGUUUCCGGGGCGGAUCUGUCCCGUCCGUGUCCCGUGUUCCCGGCGUUCAUUCCCGGUAUUCCCGGCGUUCAUUCCCGGCGUUUCCCGCUGCCUUCCCCGUGCUGUCAUUCCCAAUUAUUUAUGCUCCCACGGGAUAGCAACGGAAUAAAACCUUUGCAGGAUACCAGAGCCGCGUUCCCGCUUUUCCUUCUCCAUCUGGGGGGAUCCU
This 1550-nucleotide long non-coding RNA is filed under the name Cyanistes caeruleus (blue tit). Its description in RNAcentral is "lncRNA (ENSCCEG00000004644.1)". Lineage: Eukaryota; Metazoa; Chordata; Aves; Passeriformes; Paridae. The record is from RNAcentral.